GUCCAGGAGAAACUUGUACUGACGCCCAAAACGUAGAGUCCAGGAAAAACUUGUGGGCCACGUAUGGUGGCUAGUGAUAUGCUGUCAGGCAUUGGGUAUAAAAGACUCUGCACUCAUAACUGCAGGCGGAACUCCUGUGCUGAGCUUCCCCUGGUAUAUACCAGAAUAAAGGACCCUUCCUGUUUGAUUGCAUUGUCUGUGGGGUCUUCCAUGGUGGCGGGUGACGAACUGGACCCUAACAUUUGGGGGCUUGUCCGGGAUCCCUCCACCUUGGAACCCCCCAGACAGGAGGGCCUAAGGCACUGCCUUGGACCAGACCUUUAGUACACUUCUCUCUUAGGGACUGACUUCCCCUUGUGACCAGUCUGCCAAUCGAGGGAAGGAGUGACAGGACACCCUUCAGAUCUCCAGGCAGUUCUCCACCGACCUGGGACCCUGGAAUCCACUGAGGAUGCGCCCCUAAAGACACUGUCUGCAGCCUUCCCUCCCCCUCUUAUUCCCCUCCCUCUCUCUCCUACACACAGGUAGGGACAGCUCUACAGCCAUGCUCAGCACUGAAGAAACUACAGAAGAUUUGGACCUCAGCCCUUUUUCCCUUAGACAUUUGGAGAGGGGAGGGGAUGGGAUGGCAGGGGGCACUGAACCAGGUGGGGCCUGAGAUUCUGGCCCUCUGGGAGGCUGUGUGGUUCCCCUAUGGAUGGCUGGGCUGGCCAGAUGGCAGGACUCACUAGAAGCAGUGGGGAGACAGCUAGCAAAAGGAAUACAUGACCCACUCACUUCCAUUACUUCACUUUCUCCCCCACCCCUUGGUUUCCCCCUCCCUUGUCACAGAGUAUCCCUCAAUCGGGAGAUACCUUAUCCCACCCGCAGGAGCGCACUGGCUGUGCCCCCGUUCUGGCCUACAGCCCUGUGUCUCCCCUAGAUCCCUCACUGCCCACUGCACCCCCUCUCAAUAGUACCCCGAGUGACCUACUAUGCCAAGCAGGACCUCCUCUUCCUUAAGGAGGGGGCCUCUGUGCAGCCUUGGGUGAGGAGUGCUACUUCUAUGUUAACCACUCAGGGAUCAUUAGGGACUCCCUGAGCAAGCUAUGAGAAGGUCUAGAAGCCCUGACGGAAGGAGGGGGAAACUGCCGGCCCCUGGUACGCGACCUUUUCAAUUCUUCUCCCUAGUCACGUCCCUCAUAGGACCCCUCAUAAGCUUAACCCUGCUCUUGACAUUUGGCCCCUGCGUUUUUAACCGCCUUGUUCGGUUCAUGAAAGGCCGGCUGGGUGCCACCCAGGUGUUGGCCCUCCGACAACAGUACCGACCCCUAGCGAGCCCCGGGCUGAGGGCCACAAGCUGCCUCAGUGGCCAGGCCUUCCCUCUGCCUCCUAAGAGAAAAAGGAGUUGGGAAUGAAGGAGCCCCAAGCAGGGAGCUGCUUGGUCAGUACAGCACAUAUCACUAUAGGACAUCUGACCAACAGACCCCUGUCAGGGAACCUAAAUGUGCCAACGCCCAAAACAUAGAUUCCAGGAGAACUUGUGGGCCACGUGUGGUGGCUAGUGAUAUGCUGUCAGGCUUCGGGUAUAAAAGACUGCACUCACAACUGCAGGUGGAACUCUUGUGCUGAGCUUCCCCUGGGGUAUACCAGAAUAAAGGACCCUCCUGCUUGA
Molecule: non-coding RNA, 1654 nt
Organism: Monodelphis domestica (gray short-tailed opossum)
Lineage: Eukaryota; Metazoa; Chordata; Mammalia; Didelphimorphia; Didelphidae
Source: RefSeq, a predicted model, not a curated record